AUUAUCUGCUACAUUUCAAUGUGUUUGAUAUGUGCAUUUGCAUGAAUUUGAGACAUUAGGAUUACUUGGUGUAAUUGCUUGCAUGCAUAGUAGGUUAGAAUGCAUUAGCAGUGUGUUGUGUGUCUUUUGGUGAGGUGGAGUAUAGAUGCCUAAGGGUACAUGGUGGUUUGUGCCGAGGGAUGUAGAGUGUGACAUUUGGAUCACGAGUGGAGAUGUGAUCAAAUGUCUAGGAUCCUUUAUCUGGAAAGAGACCCUGAUCAGGUGGAGUGUGAGAGAGACACUUCUAUCACUUCUGUUAAGUGGAGACCCAUUAUCCACGUAGGUUGGGAGAAGUGAUGUGGAGAUAAAGGAUUAUCCCGUGGACUUAGGAUCUAUUGUGACUUGCCAGUUAGACAUGAGUUAAGUGAUCUGUCUAGUGAGCUUGGUGGGCGAUGAGAGGAGAUAUGUGUUCUCGAGGUGUGAGCAACACGGAAUGGGAUAGGAUAAGUGUGGUGAGGUCUUUUCUUAGGGUCAUUUAUGCAUGUGUUGCAUAUGUGGUUGACCAUGGUUUGAUUGACUUGGUGUUAAUCUAUGGUUCUAUGUGAACGUGUUUCUGAAAAGAUCUGUGUGUGUUAUCCUAUAGUAUAUCGUCAUCGCAUGUGUAUUUGCUCUUGAUUGUUUACUGUUAAAUAUUUGCUUCUACUUGGGUGUUUUUUGACCUUAGCCCCAGUGAGUACAUGGAGCAGGUAUGGUAUGUGUUUCAAGUUGGAAACACGAGGUAAGGUCUGUGAUCCAAUUUUAUUGGCUACAUUGAUUAUGCAAGUGUUAACUGUGUGUUUUGAUUGCUUGCAGAUUUAUUGGGCAUCAAGGUGGAGAUUUGUUGGGUUUUUUGAUACCCAAUAAAUCCCAGGCUAUGAUGUUAACGUGGGUUAAUAUUAUUUUAUAGGCAUAAGCCGAUGAAUGAAAUAAGUCCAACAACCAAGUCCAUGAGCUACACCCGGCCCAAUUGUAUUCCUUAUGGAUGGCUUGAAUCUUGACCCGUUUACCCCUUUAGUGGCCCAACUUAAAGCCUAACCCUAGAGUAUAUAUAUGAAUAUAACCCUAGCCUCUUUGUGAUGAUGAUUGUGUGAUUUUGAGAGAAGAAACUAGUGAAUCCCGGCUGCCCCCCUUUUGUAUGAGAAAAAGGUGUCCAGAAGUGUCCAAAACGCUUGUAUAACGUGUGCAAUUGGUAGUUCUUUCAUAGUAUAUCUUUGUGGUGUCUUCUCCUAACCUUUGUGGCCAUAAAUCAUCAUCCUUUCUUGUCCUAUGUGGGUAAGAUUGUAUAGCAACCAAGGUGAAUCAAUUGGUUGUGGUUUGGAGCCGUUUGGAUUGGUUGUUGGUAGAGAAAGGUACGUUGGACUGAGCCUGGAAAACCACCGUUUGAAGAUCUUUUGAGAGAGCUUCCGCAACAGCUUUCAUGCCAAUACAUCGACUGUGAUUAAUUUGGCAUUCCAACUGCUACAUUGUCGAAAAUAUAAUGGCUAAGCUUAAACGCAACUCUUUUGUAAAGUAUGGAGAACUGAUAUGGGUUGCAUCAUUUAACCAGCACCGACGCACAAUAAAGUUUAUCGAGGAAACAUAACUAGAGGUCGACAGUACUUCCUUGUAAUGAAUUCCUUUGUAGUAAGUGGAGAUUUAUUUUGAUAUCCCUUUUAUUUUUUGAUUUGGAAGAGUGACCAACAUUGAGGAAGCAAGAAAAUAAAGGCCUGUAAAUGUAUAAACAGUUGUUUAACAAGAACAUUUUUUUUCAAAG
This 1771-nucleotide long non-coding RNA is filed under the name Olea europaea subsp. europaea. Lineage: Eukaryota; Viridiplantae; Streptophyta; Magnoliopsida; Lamiales; Oleaceae. The record is from RNAcentral.